UUCGGGAGGCUUGCACAGGUGCUGCAUGGCUGUCGUCAGCUCGUGUCGUGAGAUGUUCGGUUAAGUCCGCUAACGAGCGCAACCCUCGCUGUGUGUUAUAUGUGUCACACGGGACUGCCGGUCUUAAGCCGGAGGAAGGUGGGGAUGAUGUCAAGUCAGCAUGGCCUUUAUAUCCUGGGCUACACACACGCUACAAUGGUCUGUACAAUUGGUUGCCAAGCCGCGAGGCGGAGCCAAUCCGUAAAGCAGGCCUCAGUUCAGAUUGCAGUCUGCAACUCGACUGCAUGAAGCCGGAGUUGCUAGUAACCGCAGGUCAGCAAUACUGCGGUGAAUACGUUCCCGGGUCUU
This 348-nucleotide ribosomal RNA is filed under the name uncultured Anaerolineaceae bacterium. RNAcentral describes it as "bacterial SSU rRNA". It matches the Rfam family "Bacterial small subunit ribosomal RNA", at positions 1020 to 1382 of the family's 1533-position model. The record is from RNAcentral. Lineage: Bacteria; Bacillati; Chloroflexota; Anaerolineae; Anaerolineales; Anaerolineaceae.